This 674-nucleotide ribosomal RNA is filed under the name uncultured Actinomycetes bacterium. RNAcentral's name for it is "bacterial SSU rRNA". It matches the Rfam family "Bacterial small subunit ribosomal RNA", at positions 28 to 711 of the family's 1533-position model. Lineage: Bacteria; Bacillati; Actinomycetota; Actinomycetes. The record is from RNAcentral.
GACGAACGCUGGCGGCGUGCUUAACACAUGCAAGUCGAACGAUGAUCCGGUGCUUGCACCGGGGAUUAGUGGCGAACAGGUGAGUAACACGUGAGUAACCUGCCCUGGACUCAGGGAUAACCCCGAGAAAUCGGAGCUAAUACCGGAUAGGACCUGGAACCGCAUGGUUUUGGGUGGGAAGUUUUUCGGUCUGGGAUGGACUCGCGGCCUAUCAGCAUGUUGGUGAGGUAAUGGCUCACCAAGGCGUCGACGGGUAGCCGGCCUGAGAGGGUGACCGGCCACACUGGGACUGAGACACGGCCCAGACUCCUACGGGAGGCAGCAGUGGGGAAUAUUGCACAAUGGGCGCAAGCCUGAUGCAGCAACGCCGCGUGGGGGAUGACGGCCUUCGGGUUGUAAACCUCUUUUAGUAGGGAAGAAGGGCUUCGGCUUGACGGUACCUGCAGAAAAAGCACCGGCUAACUACGUGCCAGCAGCCGCGGUAAUACGUAGGGUGCGAGCGUUGUCCGGAAUUAUUGGGCGUAAAGAGCUCGUAGGCGGCUCAGUAAGUCGGGUGUGAAACCCCCAGGCUCAACCUGGGGACGCCACCCGAUACUGCUGUGGCUAGAGUCCAGUAGGGGAGUGUGGAAUUCCCGGUGUAGCGGUGAAAUGCGCAGAUAUCGGGAGGAACACCA